RNAcentral lists this ribosomal RNA (705 nucleotides) under Pseudomonas aeruginosa. Its description in RNAcentral is "bacterial SSU rRNA". It matches the Rfam family "Bacterial small subunit ribosomal RNA", at positions 56 to 757 of the family's 1533-position model. Lineage: Bacteria; Pseudomonadati; Pseudomonadota; Gammaproteobacteria; Pseudomonadales; Pseudomonadaceae. The record is from RNAcentral.
UGCAGUCGAGCGGAUGAAGGGGGCUUGCUCCUGGAUUCAGCGGCGGACGGGUGAGUAAUGCCUAGGAAUCUGCCUGGUAGUGGGGGAUAACGUCCGGAAACGGGCGCUAAUACCGCAUACGUCCUGAGGGAGAAAGUGGGGGAUCUUCGGACCUCACGCUAUCAGAUGAGCCUAGGUCGGAUUAGCUAGUUGGUGGGGUAAAGGCCUACCAAGGCGACGAUCCGUAACUGGUCUGAGAGGAUGAUCAGUCACACUGGAACUGAGACACGGUCCAGACUCCUACGGGAGGCAGCAGUGGGGAAUAUUGGACAAUGGGCGAAAGCCUGAUCCAGCCAUGCCGCGUGUGUGAAGAAGGUCUUCGGAUUGUAAAGCACUUUAAGUUGGGAGGAAGGGCAGUAAGUUAAUACCUUGCUGUUUUGACGUUACCAACAGAAUAAGCACCGGCUAACUUCGUGCCAGCAGCCGCGGUAAUACGAAGGGUGCAAGCGUUAAUCGGAAUUACUGGGCGUAAAGCGCGCGUAGGUGGUUCAGCAAGUUGGAUGUGAAAUCCCCGGGCUCAACCUGGGAACUGCAUCCAAAACUACUGAGCUAGAGUACGGUAGAGGGUGGUGGAAUUUCCUGUGUAGCGGUGAAAUGCGUAGAUAUAGGAAGGAACACCAGUGGCGAAGGCGACCACCUGGACUGAUACUGACACUGAGGUGCGAA